This 254-nucleotide ribosomal RNA is filed under the name uncultured bacterium. Its description in RNAcentral is "partial 16S ribosomal RNA". It matches the Rfam family "Bacterial small subunit ribosomal RNA", at positions 524 to 776 of the family's 1533-position model. The record is from RNAcentral.
UACAGAGGUCCCAAGCGUUGUUCGGAUUCACUGGGCGUAAAGGGUGCGUAGGUGGUGAGGUAAGUCGGAUGUGAAAUCUCCGAGCUCAACUCGGAAAUGGCAUUGGAAACUACCUUGCUCGAGGGUUGGAGGGGGGACUGGAAUGCUUGGUGUAGCAGUGAAAUGCGUAGAUAUCAAGCGGAACACCAGUGGCGAAGGCGAGUCCCUGGACAACUCCUGACACUGAGGCACGAAAGCUAGGGGGAGCAAACAGG